GGAUUAGAUACCCUGGUAGUCCACGCCCUAAACGAUGUGUGCUAGACGUUGGGGGGCUUGCCCUUCGGUGUCGGAGCUAACGUGUUAAGCACACCGCCUGGGGAGUACGGUCGCAAGAUUAAAACUCAAAGGAAUUGACGGGGGCCCGCACAAGCGGUGGAGCAUGUGGUUUAAUUCGACGCAACGCGCAGAACCUUACCAGCCCUUGACAUGGUGGUUACGAUUUCCAGAGAUGGAUCUCUCAGUUCGGCUGGACCAUCACAGGUGCUGCAUGGCUGUCGUCAGCUCGUGCCG
This 294-nucleotide ribosomal RNA is filed under the name uncultured bacterium. Its description in RNAcentral is "partial 16S ribosomal RNA". It matches the Rfam family "Bacterial small subunit ribosomal RNA", at positions 775 to 1067 of the family's 1533-position model. The record is from RNAcentral.